CAUUGGCCCUUUGAGCUACAUUCACGUGCAUAGAAAAUAACAUUGUCAGACGUGUCAUCCCCAGAUACAAUGGACAAUAUGCUAUUAUAAUUGUAUGGCAUUGUCCUUGCUGUUUGGAGAUAAUACUGCUGACUUUAUUCCUCUCAUACAUGUGAAUGCGGCUGUGGGGAAUACGUG
RNAcentral lists this microRNA precursor (177 nucleotides) under Callithrix jacchus (white-tufted-ear marmoset). Its description in RNAcentral is "microRNA cja-mir-2355 precursor". The stretch from base 54 to 124 matches the Rfam family "mir-2355 microRNA precursor family". Lineage: Eukaryota; Metazoa; Chordata; Mammalia; Primates; Cebidae. The record is from miRBase by way of RNAcentral.